Molecule: ribosomal RNA, 456 nt
Filed under: uncultured bacterium
Lineage: Bacteria
Description: bacterial SSU rRNA
Rfam family: Bacterial small subunit ribosomal RNA
Source: RNAcentral
UACGGGAGGCAGCAGGGGGAAUAUUGCACAAUGGGCGAAAGCCUGAUGCAGCUAUGCCGCGUGUAUGAAGAAGGCCUUAGGGUUGUAAAGUACUUUCAUCGGGGAGGAAAAACAAAACUAAUAAUUUUAUUUCUUGACGUUACCCGAAAAAGAAGCACCGGCUAACUCCGUGCCAGCAGCCGCGGUAAUACGGAGGGUGCUAGCGUUAAUCAGAAUUACUGGGCGUAAAGAGCACGUAGGUGGUUUUUUUAAGUUCAGAUGUGAAAUCCCUGGGCUUAACCUAGGAACUGCAUUUUGAAACUGAAAUACUAGAGUAUCGUAGAGGGAGGUAGAAUUCUAGGUGUAGCGGUGAAAUGCGUAGAUAUCUGGAGGAAUACCUGUGGCGAAAGCGGCCUCCUAAACGAAUACUGACACUGAGGUGCGAAAGCGUGGGGAGCAAACGAGGGAUUAGAUACC